Molecule: ribosomal RNA, 171 nt
Filed under: Choridactylus multibarbus (orangebanded stingfish)
Lineage: Eukaryota; Metazoa; Chordata; Actinopteri; Perciformes; Synanceiidae
Description: partial 12S rRNA
Source: RNAcentral
CACCGCGGUUAUACGAACGACCCAAGUUGAUAGAUGUUGGCGUAAAGCGUGGUUAGAGAAUAGAAAAACUAAGACGGAAAGAUUCUUGUACUGUUAUACGUGUUUUAGAAGUCGGAAACCCAACUACGAAGGUGGUCUUAAUUAAUCCUUGAACCCACGAGAGCUGUGAAA